GACGAACGCUGGCGGCGUGCUUAACACAUGCAAGUCGAACGGCAAGGCCCUGCUUUUGUCGGGUGCUCGAGUGGCGAACGGGUGAGUAACAAGUGAGUCACCUGCCCUUGACUAUGGGAUGACUUCUGGAAACUGGGGCUAAUACCGGCUCGGAGCUCCUGCUGCAGGGUGGGGGUUGGAUAGUUUCGGCGGUUGGGGAUGGACUCGCGGCUUAUCAGCUUGUUGGUGGGGUAGUGGCUUACCAAGGCUUUGACGGGUAGCCGGCCUGAGAGGGUGACCGGCCACAUUGGGACUGAGAUACGGCCCAGACUCCUACGGGAGGCAGCAGUGGGGAAUAUUGCACAAUGGGCGGAAGCCUGAUGCAGAAACGCCGCGUGCGGGAUGACGGCCUUCGGGUUGUAAACCGCUUUCGCCUGUGACGAAGCGUGAGUGACGGUAAUGGGUAAAGAAGCACCGGCUAACUACGUG
Molecule: ribosomal RNA, 468 nt
Filed under: uncultured bacterium
Lineage: Bacteria
Description: partial 16S ribosomal RNA
Rfam family: Bacterial small subunit ribosomal RNA
Source: RNAcentral